AUUUUUUAAUUGUGCUCCUGGACCUUUCUUUUUCUCUAAAAGUCUAUAUUAUCUUAACAAAAGGUCAUUUAGGCAUAUAUUUAUGGUGGCUAUUUUCCCAAAUCUAUAAAAGGAUAUUCAUCCCCACUCCAACUUCCUCCCAUCACCCAACCCUUCCAUGGAAAGCAUUUGGCAGCUGUUUGGAUGUGGAUUUGGAUUCAACAUUUUGAGCUCUUGCUCUGGGCUGAGCACCACGUAAAGCAAUUUUAUGAUCUUCUCCCUUGUCCCCCUAUUCUGUUUGUUCCCUAACUCCUGGUACAAUAACAUGGAAUAUCAGAAAGAGAGACCUUUAGCCCUCAUGCAGGAACUUCAAAGAAUCCAGUAAUAAACUGAUCUGAGCUUACAUUGUGCAUUUGGGGCAGCUGAGGGCUUGAUCCCUCCUGCCCAUGCAGGAAAAUAGUCACUGUCCUCUGCAGUACAGGUCAGUUCUCAGCGUUGCCAUGUGUUUAGCCACUUCAUCUCUCAGAUCAUUCAACCACGACCACCCUAGUUUGGCCAUAUCAUUUAAGAAUCCCAUACAAUUGCAGUGUUCUACAUCCUACAACUGAAACAUAAAGCUGUUUUUGGCACUUUGUUCAUGUUUAAUUUGAAGCUUACUGGAUUUUACUUGGGCUUCAUCUAUGAACGUAUCCCCAGAGGAGAUUUAACUAAUUUUUUUUUAAUGUAGUGGCAAACCCCUGGUAAGGCAGGAGCCUGUCUAUUAUUCACGAUAGCCCUCCAACCACAGGUUAGCAUGACUCAUCUGAGUCUCAGCUAUUUUCAUGAGGAUUUUUGUCAGCUCUUAUUUUCAUGAGCUCCCAAGGACAGAUUGGAGGCAAAAGUGGGAACAUCUAUCUGCUCAGCACUCAAAGAAAACCCCACUGGGGAAAACAGGCAGAACUGUGUGCUUCUUUUCACCUUCCAAAAACUUAUAAUACACAGUGAUCAAAUAUAUUUAAUUUAGACAAAACAUUUACAUACUUUAUACAUGAUAUAUAUGGUGAACAAUUAAUUCCCAGUAUCCCGUUUCCCUUUUUUAUAACCCUGAUUUUUUGCUAAACACUUUGCCGACAUCUUCCCUUGUAAUUAAGAGUGGUCAUAUGGUGCUAUUUGUCAGCGUCCCUUGCAACUAGGCAUGGCCAAUGAAAUGUAAGCAAAGUGUCAGGGGAGACUUUUGGGGGAAGAUCCUAUAUGUGAAGGUGUGAGUUCCUGGAACAUAGACAUGAUGACUCAAGCUCUAGCAGUCAUUUUAGACCUUUAGCUCAUCUUAAGGAUGCAAGUCAGCUCUAAGAGUGGGACAAGAAAUUAGGAGUUUAGGUCCCUGAAGACAUCAUGGGACUGCCAUACCAGCUCUGAAGUGUCCAGCUCUGGACUUUUUAAAUCUAAAAAUGAAUGAAUAAAUAAACUUCAA
RNAcentral lists this long non-coding RNA (1429 nucleotides) under Homo sapiens (human). RNAcentral describes it as "HSALNT0340328". Lineage: Eukaryota; Metazoa; Chordata; Mammalia; Primates; Hominidae. The record is from RNAcentral.